UUUAUUUCUCACAAAGGCUACCUGUAUUUAUUAAGCAGUUUCAAUUUUAUCGUACAUCAAGUCUUUUGUUAUGUUAAUUUCAAUUACAUUAAAUUUCUGGUCGAGUGAUCAUUUACCACGUGCGAUUUGUUAAAGGAUGUGUAGUUCAUUCAUAAAAAAAAUGGAUUAAUGAUUUUGAUUCCCAAUAAGGAUUAAUUUCAAAGAUAUGGUGAGUAAAUAUUUGUUUAUAAUAUGAACCUGUUGAUACAACAUGUCUUGUUACAGUUAGAUGAUAUACAUGAAUAUAUACACAACAGAAAUUACAUGUAGGGAGUUGAGAGCAGUGUACACAUUAUUAUUCAAUCAGUAUCAAAGAGGUCAUUGCACUGACCUGACCAUGCAAAAUAUAUAUUUAUAUACAAAAAAUGUCACACAUAGUAGAAAAGGCUUCGAUUUUCGUAUUCGGUUUAAAAUAUUUGAGCAAAAAUUGCAUUUCAUGUUUUAUCAUAUUUAAAAUCACCGAUUUACUUAUCCCUUUCUUUUGAUAUUUUGCGAUAUUUCUAGUUUUCCAGAUAACCCAUUUCGUGAUUAAAAGCACCGUAUCUAAAAUUUGGGUAUAAGAUGCAUCUGCAUUAAUGACCCCAAAAAUUA
Molecule: long non-coding RNA, 630 nt
Filed under: Mytilus galloprovincialis (Mediterranean mussel)
Lineage: Eukaryota; Metazoa; Mollusca; Bivalvia; Mytilida; Mytilidae
Source: RNAcentral